AGUGAACGCUGGCGGUAGGCCUAACACAUGCAAGUCGAACGGCAGCACAGUAAGAGCUUGCUCUUACGGGUGGCGAGUGGCGGACGGGUGAGGAAUACAUCGGAAUCUACUUUUUCGUGGGGGAUAACGUAGGGAAACUUACGCUAAUACCGCAUACGACCUACGGGUGAAAGCAGGGGAUCUUCGGACCUUGCGCGAUUGAAUGAGCCGAUGUCGGAUUAGCUAGUUGGCGGGGUAAAGGCCCACCAAGGCGACGAUCCGUAGCUGGUCUGAGAGGAUGAUCCGCCACACUGGAACUGAGACACGGUCCAGACUCCUACGGUAGGCAGCAGUGGGGAAUAUUGGACAAUGGGCGCAAGCCUGAUCCAGCCAUACCGCGUGGGUGAAGAAGGCCUUCGGGUUGUAAAGCCCUUUUGUUGGGAAAGAAAAGCAGCAGGUUAAUACCCCGCUGUUCUGACGGUACCCAAAGAAUAAGCACCGGCUAACUUCGUG
Molecule: ribosomal RNA, 492 nt
Filed under: uncultured bacterium
Lineage: Bacteria
Description: partial 16S ribosomal RNA
Rfam family: Bacterial small subunit ribosomal RNA
Source: RNAcentral